This is a small nucleolar RNA of Syzygium oleosum, 97 nucleotides long. RefSeq annotates it as small nucleolar RNA R64/Z200 family. Lineage: Eukaryota; Viridiplantae; Streptophyta; Magnoliopsida; Myrtales; Myrtaceae. The transcript has a single exon. The record is from RefSeq and is a predicted model, not a curated record.
CUUCUGCAGUGAUGAAGUAUGAAUAAGAAAUUAUGCACAUGUCAGACUUCAGAGACUUUCAUUGAUGAGAAGAGACAUUUAAAACUCUUAAGAGAAG